UUCCGGUUGAUCCUGCCGGAGGUCACUGCUAUUGGGAUUCGACUAAGCCAUGCGAGUCGAGAGGGUUCGGCCCUCGGCUGACGGCUCAGUAACACGUGGAUAAUCUGCCCUAAGGUGGAGGAUAACCUCGGGAAACUGAGAAUAAUACUCCAUAGGUCUAAGAUACUGGAAUGUACUUAGGCUUAAAGCUCCGGCGCCUUAGGAUGAGUCUGCGGACUAUCAGGUUGUAGUUAGGGUAAAGACCUGACUAGCCUACGACGGAUAUGGGUUGUGAGAGCAAUAGCCCAGAGACGAUAUCUGAGACACGAUAUCGGGCCCUACGGGGCGCAGCAGGCGCGAAAUCUUCACAAUGUGCGAAAGCACGAUGAGGGGAUCCCAAGUGCUGGCACGUAAGUGUCAGCUGUUUCUUAGUCUAAAAAACUGAGAGAGUAAGGGCUGGGUAAGACGGGUGCCAGCCGCCGCGGUAAUACCUGCAGCUCAAGUGGUGGCCGCUAUUAUUGGGCCUAAAACGUCCGUAGCCUGUUUAGUAAAUGCUUGGGUAAAUUGUGUAGCUUAACUAUACGAAUACCGGGUAGACUGCUAAACUUGGGACCGGGAGAGGCUAGAGGUACUCCUGGGGUAGAGGUGAAAUUCUGUAAUCCUAGGGGGACCACCAGUGGCGAAGGCGCCUAGCUAGAACGGGUCUGACGGUGAGGGACGAAGCCCUGGGGCGCAAACCGGAUUAGAUACCCGGGUAGUCCAGGGUGUAAACGCUGCUUGCUUGAUGUUAGUUGGGCUCCGAGCCCAACUAGUGUCGGAGAGAAGUUGUUAAGCAAGCUGCCUGGGAAGUACGGUCGCAAGACUGAAACUUAAAGGAAUUGGCGGGGGAGCACAGCAACGGGUGGAGCGUGCGGUUUAAUUGGAUUCAA
This 908-nucleotide ribosomal RNA is filed under the name uncultured archaeon. RNAcentral describes it as "bacterial SSU rRNA". It matches the Rfam family "Archaeal small subunit ribosomal RNA", at positions 1 to 915 of the family's 1478-position model. The record is from RNAcentral.